UUCAGUCUACUCACUGAAAGCCACCAUGAAGGAGCAGUUGGGGGUUUUGUUUGUGUACUUUUUGUGUUUGUAUGGAAGUCUGAGCAGUGGAGCAGCAGUGAAUGGAGAUUUUCCACAAGUCCUGAAGAACAGCAAGCUGAACAAACAGGAUGUUCGAGUCAGUCUGAAUGUUCCAGGCCACACUGGGAUGACAGUGUCUGGAAACAGUUAUCAGAAAGUCUGGCAGACCUUUGGGGUCCAGAACAGAGUGGAACGAGAUGCUUUCCUUACUGAAUCAUUCCCCAUUGGAUUCAAAUGGGCCACCUCAAGUGAGUCCUUCAAGGUUGAAGGUGCCUGGAAAGCAGGGGGGAAGGGAGAGUCCAUCUGGGACCAUUUCGGCCAUGAAGGCCUAGCCUUUGCAAAUCAGACGGCUGACUUAGCUUGUGACAGUUACAACAAGGUGGAUUACGAUCUCUACCACCUGCGAGGUCUUCAAGUCAACACCUACCAGUUUUCCAUCUCCUGGGCCCGUAUUUUCCCUUCAGGCCUCCGGGGCAGUCAAUCAGAGAAAGGGGCUCUCUACUAUGACAAGCUGAUCAAUGCUCUCAUUGAAUCUGGCAUAGAGCCUGUUGUCACUCUCUACCACUGGGAUCUGCCUCAGGCUCUCCAGGUCAGUGGUGGAUGGAAAAACACUGCCAUCAUUGAAGCCUUCAAAGACUAUGCAGACUUCUGCUUCUCCAGAUUUGGAGACAGGGUCAAGACCUGGAACACAUUCAGCAGCCCUUGGGUGGAGAGUUAUGCUGGGUAUGGCACUGGUGAGCAUGCCCCCAGCAUAAAGGAUUAUGCUGUUUCGUCUUAUCAGGUCACUCACAAUAUGCUCAAGUCCCAUGCUGAGGCCUGGCAUGUCUACAAUGACAAGUAUAGAAGCACUCAAGGUGGGAAAGUGGGCAUUGCACUGAACUCUGACUGGGCUGAGCCAAAGGACGUGUCCAGACCUGAAGACAUAGCAGCUGCUGAUCUCUACCUGCAGUUCAUGCUGGGCUGGUUUGCACAUCCCAUAUUUGUAAAUGGAGAUUAUCCACCAACACUCAAAGCACAGGUUGAAAAGAAAAGAAAUGAGUGUCCAGCCUCUGUGGCUCCAGUACUUCCAGUAUUUAGUUCCGCAGAGAGUCAGAGGAUAAAGGGUUCUGCUGACUUUUUUGGAUUAAACCAUUAUACUUCUCGUUUGGUCAGAAUCAGUAAUGGUGGGUGUGCUGCUAGUCUUCAGGGUGUUGGUGACUUCCGUGCAGAGGUGGACUCCUCAUGGCCUUCUACAGCUUCUGACUAUAUCUAUUCUGUACCAUGGGGACUUAGAAGGCUCCUAAACUACAUUUCCAAAGAAUAUCUAAAUGUUAAGAAAGUCCCUAUUUACAUAACUGGGAAUGGGAUGCCAACAGCAUACAGUGGGGACAGCCUGAAUGACACCAGCAGAAUUGAGUACAUGAAGAGUUACAUCAAUGAGGCCCUGAAAGCAAUUAUCACUGAUGAAGUGGAUGUUCAGCGAUUCACAGUGCAGUCACUCAUGGAUGGAUUUGAAGGAAAACAAGGCUACAGCCAGAGAUUUGGUCUUCACUAUGUCAACUUUGAAGUUCCAGACAGACCAAGACUCCCAAAGCAAUCAGCCUAUUUCUACAACCAGCUGAUCAAGAAAAAUGGUUUUCGUUCACUCAAAUCUAAAGUUUUCAAAGGGGUAGAAAUGCCACUUACCCACCGUUCAGCAGGUUUACCAGCAUCAGAGGUUCCAGCUAAAUCAAAGACCGUCUUCGAGAAGUUCUCACGUCAGUCAAAAUUCCAGAGAUCAGUGUAUCACUAUGGCAGUUUCCCACAAGGCUUCAGUUGGGGAGUUUCAUCUUCAGCCUAUCAAAUUGAAGGUGGAUGGAACGCAGAUGGGAAGGGGCCCAGUGUCUGGGAUGUCUACACUCACACACCUGGCAGUGUUGCUGGUGAUGCUAAUGGAGAUGUAGCCUGUGAUAGUUACAACAGACUUGAUGAAGACCUGUACAUGCUGCGAGCUAUGGAGGUGAAGUCUUACAGAUUCUCUUUAUCCUGGUCCAGGAUCUUUCCUAAUGGUAACCGUUCCUCCCUGAACCAGAAAGGUGUUGACUACUACAAUAGACUCAUUGAUGGCCUCUUAGAAUCCAAAAUCACCCCCAUGGUGACACUUUAUCACUGGGACCUCCCACAGGCUUUGCAAGACAUUGGUGGAUGGGAAAAGGUUCAAUUGAUUGACAUUUUUAAUGACUAUAGUGACUUCUGCUUCGCUACGUUUGGCGACAGAGUGAAAUUUUGGAUGACCUUCAACCAGCCUCACACAAUUGCGUGGUCAGGUUAUGGAAUUGGAGAGAUCCCACCAAAUGUUAAACAACCAGGCACUGCUCCGUACAGAGUUGCACACAACCUGAUCAAAGCGCAUGCCGAGGCCUACCAUACGUACAAUGACAAGUAUCGCAAUUCCCAACGUGGUUUGGUUUCCAUUGCCCUCAAUGCUGAUUGGGUUGAACCUAGAGAUGUCAACGAUAUCCGAGAAGUGGCGGCUGCUGACCGUGCAUUACAGUUCCAACUGGGUUGGUUUGCACACCCCAUUUUCAAGAAUGGUGACUAUCCUGAGACAAUGAAGUGGCAAGUUGCAAACAAAAGUCGGCUCAUAGGUCUUUCAGAGUCAAGGCUACCUUCCUUCACUGAAGAAGAGAAGAAAUUCAUCAAGGGAACUGCUGACAUGUUCUGUGUAAAUCAUUACACGACAGUGAUAGCAAGCCACAUUACAGCUCCAUUUAGGCCUCCAUCCUAUGAAAAUGACUGGGACUUUUCACUAGCAGAGGAUGUGGAUUCGCCAACUACAUCCUAUCCGAACCAAAGAGCUGUAUCGUGGGGCUUGAGAAGACUCCUUAACUGGAUCAAAGAAGAGUAUGGAGAUCCAGACAUUUACAUUACUGAGAGUGGAAUGGCUUCAGCCUAUUCCGUCCCCUGGGACGAUAUUGACAGAGUGUUUUAUUACAAGACCUAUGUCGACGAGGCUCUCAAAGCCUCUCAAGUUGAUGGUGUGAAGGUGAAGGGAUACAUGGCAACAUCACUUAUGGAUGCUUUCGAGUGGCGGAGGGGAUACACCUUUCAAUUUGGUCUGCAUCAUGUGGACUUCAAUAACCCAAACCGGCCAAGGUCACCCAAGUUCUCUGCUCAUUACUACUACCACAUCAUGAAAGAUAACGGUUUCCCUAACAAUUUAGAGGAGAAGAUUUACGGUCAUUUCCCAGAUGAUUUCAUUUGGGGUACUGCUACAGCUGCAUACCAGAUUGAAGGGGCUUGGAGAGCAGAUGGAAAAGGUUUCAGCAUCUGGGACAAGUUUGCUCACACUCCAGGGAAAAUGGCGAAUCAUGAUUCCGGGGACUUGGCCUGUGACAGUUACCAUAGAAUAGAAGAUGAUAUUAAGUUAUUGAAGCACCUUAAGGUGUCCCAUUAUCGUCUCUCCAUAUCCUGGCCAAGGGUACUUCCUGAUGGCACCACCAAACACAUUAAUGAGGCUGGAAUCAACUACUACCAUCGAGUGUUGGAUGCUCUGCUUGCUGCAAAUAUCCAGCCAUGUGUCACUCUGUACCAUUGGGACCUUCCGCAAGCUCUGGAAAAAGUAGGGGGCUGGGAGAAUGAGACUAUUGUUGACAGAUUCAAGGAAUAUGCUGACCUAAUGUUUAGCCGUCUGGGCCCCAAAGUGAAAGUUUGGAUCACCAUAAAUGAGCCAUUCAAUGUAGCCUAUAUAGGCUAUGGCAUUGGAAUUGCUGCCCCAGGGUACACUGACCGACCAGGCACUCUGCCCUACAUUGUUGGUCACAACAUUAUUAAAGCACAUGCUGAGGCUUGGCAUGUCUACAAUGACAAAUACCGGGCCCAACAGAAAGGCAUGAUCUCCAUUUCCGUUAACUCUGACUGGUCAGAACCCAGGAAUCCCUAUAAGCAGGAAGAUAUUGAUGCAGCUGAACGUGUACUGCAGUUCUUCAUUGGGUGGUUUUCCCAUCCCAUAUUUAAAGGUGACUACAGUGAGAUGAUGAGGACAAUCGUUCGAGAACGGAGUCUGGCUGCUGGUCUACCACAAUCCCGACUGCCUGAGUUUACUCCGGAGGAGAUCAGGAGAAUCAACGGCACCUAUGAUUAUUUUGGAUUCAACCAUUACACCAGUGUCCUAGCAUUCAAUGUGGACCAUGGAAACAAUCAGCACUACGAGGCAGACAAGGGUGCAGCAGUAAUGUCUGAUCGUACCUGGCUGGAAGCAGGUUCGCCCUGGUUGAGAGUUGCACCAUUUGGAUUCCGUAGGAUACUGAGGUUCAUCAAGGAAGAGUAUGGAAAUCCACCACUCCUUGUAACAGAGAAUGGAGUGUCAGAGCAUGGCCCUGUUGACCUAAAUGAUACUCACAGGAUCUACUACUAUGACAAAUACAUCAACGAGGCACUGAAAGCUUACAAGCUGGAUGGAGUGAAUCUUAUUGGUUACACUGCUUGGUCAAUGAUGGACAACCUGGAGUGGAACGCUGGCUAUACAGAAACAUUUGGCCUUUUCUACGUCAACCGCUCAGACCCUACACUUCCUCGGAUGCCCAAGGCCUCAGCAUCAUUUUAUAUCAACAUGGUAAAAUGCAACGGAUUCCCAGACCCUGCCUUAGGACCCCAUGAGUGCUUGAACAAUUAGACUGAAGGAAAAAAUUAAGGCAGUGACUAGCACAACUGUGAAGCCUGAGACUGAAGGAACAAGAGAACUCAUCAGUGACAUUGCUGUGAGGUUCCUGGAUAUGAAGCUCUUCACCAGCAAUGCUCUACUGAUUGUCACAGUGGUGGGAAUUCAUCUUCGGGGCAAAAAAAAAAAAAAAAAAGGAAAAAAACAGGAUAAGUAAAAAGAGAAUUUUAACAAUAUAAGCUUGAAGAAAAUAUUUGGUGAACAAACUCAGGUGUAAUAGAAGUCCUUAUCAUAGACAAACAUAUAACCAAUUUAAGUGAAGGCUUUCACAGGCUACUUACGACAUUGUAUUUAUUGGAUAUGUUUAACUUAUUUGGUGGGCAUCAUCUGCAUUACAUUGUGAAACAAAAGACAUUGAACCACAUGUCCAAGUGUGUUGUGACUCACUGAAGUCUGCCAUCUGUUGUGCUAUUGAUCAUUACCAUUUAUUUUCUGUCAGUGACCCAGUUUCUUGUGUGUUGUGUGUGUGAAACUUGAAUGUGUUCAUUCAAGUUUAAAUAUAAUUGCGUUGUUUAGAUUAAAAUCAUAUUUAAAUAAAAAUAUAUAAAAACAUAUAUAAAAUAAAUAAACAGCUGGAACAAGGGGACUUGUAGAGUUUCUUGAAGAUUUUUUACCACUCAGCCAAGAAGCCUCUUCAGUUCUGAUACACAUGGUGUCUCCAGAAGCUCCUCUUUAACCUGGACCUGUGGGGUGUAGAAGUUGCUCAAUGCCACUAGAAGUCACUGUACCAUUACUUCUGAACACCUGAGAACCUGCCUUAUAAUUUAGGUUUAGGAUUAUUUCAUGAUGGUAGGCUAUGUGAAUUUAUGAUGGUAUGCAUAUGUGAUAUAUAAAGUGUUUUUCAUCUGUCUAGGCAAUAAGUUAACAAUUUCAAGAUAUUGCAACUUUAAAUGUGGAGGAUGUUAAGGAGUUUCUGAUCUUUAAUGUCUAAAUUGAUUUUCACGUUUUGUGUGUGAAGCUGUAAGUCAUAGAUAACAAAACAAGAAUCAUAUACUGAUGCACUGUAUUACUGAUAAUUAAUAAUCACAUAACAUGUUUCCUGUGAUAAUUCUUAAGUACAGUAUCAUGUCUCAGUGGUGUUCAUUAGUUAGUGUUUACUACAUUACAACAUUUUCUCAACAAAUUAGCUUCUAACUAGUAUUAUGUGACAUUAUCCAGAUCAUGGGACACCACUUUGACAGGAGUGUAUUUGAACCUGUUCUCAUUUUUAUGAGUUUAAGUUGAACUUGGAUUUAAUCUGCAAAGUACCAGAUUGGAAAAUGUAUUACCUUAUCCAAAAUAAAGAUUAUGCUGUAUGAUAUUCUCCAAAAAA
Molecule: RNA transcript, 6050 nt
Organism: Mugil cephalus (flathead mullet)
Lineage: Eukaryota; Metazoa; Chordata; Actinopteri; Mugiliformes; Mugilidae
Gene name: lactase-phlorizin hydrolase-like
Exons: 15
Source: RefSeq, a predicted model, not a curated record